Molecule: long non-coding RNA, 370 nt
Organism: Diuraphis noxia (Russian wheat aphid)
Lineage: Eukaryota; Metazoa; Arthropoda; Insecta; Hemiptera; Aphididae
Source: RefSeq, a predicted model, not a curated record
AUGUUUUGUUAUCAUGUAUGAAUAUGGUUUUUUCGGUUACCUACUAAAAUUACUAUGGAAAAAAGUACGUUACAAUAACACCCAACUUUGUUUAAUAAAUAAUUCAAAUGUAAAUCCAUAAAAUUAUUUUACAAUCUCGUGCAACCGGUGUUGUGAGUAUGUAAAUUUGAGAUAAACGCUGAUCUGGUAAGUGGUACACGCAGCAGCGGUCCUAUGGCAUGCGCAACCGGUUCAUCCAGAGCAACGAAAAACUCAAAUACCAUUAUUAUUUUUUUUCCUAAUAAAACCCGCUUCCACUGUACGAGGAGGUUUACCUAUUUAAUCGCAACACGCAAUUCGUUUAAAAUAUAAAUAAAUCGACUUGAUAGUU